This 71-nucleotide transfer RNA is filed under the name Cordylochernes scorpioides. RNAcentral's name for it is "tRNA-Gly". The record is from RNAcentral. Lineage: Eukaryota; Metazoa; Arthropoda; Arachnida; Pseudoscorpiones; Chernetidae.
UGCAUCAGCCGGGAAUCGAACCCCGGCCGCCCGCGUGGCAGGCGAGCAUUCUACCACUGAACCACCGAUGG